RNAcentral lists this ribosomal RNA (486 nucleotides) under uncultured bacterium. RNAcentral describes it as "partial 16S ribosomal RNA". It matches the Rfam family "Bacterial small subunit ribosomal RNA", at positions 30 to 507 of the family's 1533-position model. The record is from RNAcentral.
AUUGAACGCUGGCGGCAUGCCUUACACAUGCAAGUCGAACGGCAGCACGGGUGCUUGCACCUGGUGGCGAGUGGCGAACGGGUGAGUAAUACAUCGGAACAUGUCCUGUAGUGGGGGAUAGCCCGGCGAAAGCCGGAUUAAUACCGCAUACGAUCUACGGAUGAAAGCGGGGGACCUUCGGGCCUCGCGCUAUAGGGUUGGCCGAUGGCUGAUUAGCUAGUUGGUGGGGUAAAGGCCUACCAAGGCGACGAUCAGUAGCUGGUCUGAGAGGACGACCAGCCACACUGGGACUGAGACACGGCCCAGACUCCUACGGGAGGCAGCAGUGGGGAAUUUUGGACAAUGGGCGAAAGCCUGAUCCAGCAAUGCCGCGUGUGUGAAGAAGGCCUUCGGGUUGUAAAGCACUUUUGUCCGGAAAGAAAUCCUUGGCCCUAGUACGGUCGGGGGAUGACGGUACCGGAAGAAUAAGCACCGGCUAACUACGUG